UAUUGAGGUUAACUUCAUGAGUUAUGGGGAAAAGCUCUCUAAGUAAGACAGAGUAUUUGAAUCUAUUCUAGGCAGUGAUUUCUGUCAUAGUCUUUCAUAGUCCCACAACGGGGAAAGUUCAUCUCAUAACAGCACAGAGUAUGAUACAGGAGAAGAAAAAUAUAGCAGCAUAGCAGCAAGUAAAAAUACAGAACAGACCAAUGAAACUGAAAUGUCUUUCCUAAUAGUAAUAAUUUUAUUAGUAAAGAAGUUCAUGAAGUCAUUGCUGCUGAGAUUAAAGGGGAUAGUAGGCUCAACACAGCUAUAACUCUUAGUCAGCCUGGCUACAGAGCUCAUAAGAAAUCUGGGGUUUUGUUUUGUUUUUCUCAGUUAAUGUCAGGUUCUGGCUCUGUGUUUCAGUUUUACCUUGUAAAGGACUCUGUUCAUUUGGCCACAUUAUCAUGUCUUGGGUUUUCUAGUUUCCAUUUCCGGUUUUAUUUUGGUAGUCUCCCAGGUUUCUGUUUCAGUUCGAGCUUCACUUCCGGUUUAUGUCACGUCACAGCUGUUCUUGCUUCACCCGGUCAUUAUUCACACCUGCACGUCAUCAGUAAUCGAGUCACGUUGUAUUUAACCACCACCUGUGUCCUCAGUUCCCCGCCAGAUCGUUGUUUUGUGUGUUCCUGUCGUAGUCCCGUUCGUUGAUCUAGUCCUGCUGUAAAUCGUGUAUCCUGUGUUGUUCGUUGACUCUGAGCCUGCCUUAUUCCUGCCUGUCACGUCUGCCUGGAUCAUCUACCGUUGCCUGUUACUGACUUUGCCUGCCUGACCACGCUUCUCCGCCUGAGGACUCUGUAUUGUUACUCCUGUCUUUCGUGAAUGACUCUGCCUGAACUGACCUCGCCUAAUCUGGAAUAAACCACCCUUGAUCACCGUCAACCUGUGUACGCUGUGCAUUUGGGUCCUCAUCAGAGCGUUCCCUGACAGUUAAGAAGGAAUAAUAUGGUUUUCUAGCUUGUUAUAUAUCAUUAGACUGUCCUUCCAUGCUAUGCAGUUUAUAUUUAUUUUGUUAAAACGCCACUGCCUUUCUAGUUGUUGGAUCCUGUACUUUAGGUUGCGGAUCUCUGAGUUAUACCAUGGAACUAACCUCCUCUGAUUCACUUGCAGAGAAGCUGAAGCAUCAUCUACAAGAGAUUCAACCUGUUCAUAAGGAUUAAGGUGACUGUUCUCCUCUGAGUAGCUACCAGACGAUGAGGCAAAAGAUGAUGGAAACAUCUGCUUGAAUCUGGCAACAGCAUUGUCAGAUAAUGAUCUGCUAUAGUAACAUUUCUUUCCAGCUGCUGAAAGGUCAAUUAUGCUAAAUGGUAAAUUCAAAAGUUAAUAAGAAAUGGUCAGAUAACAGCGCGUUUUGGGGAAGAACUAUUAAAUUAUGAAUUUGAACUCCAUAUGUUAGGAUGGGUAUGGUUAAAACAAUGAGUGGGUUCAUUUACAUGCAUUUUAAAAGCAGUGCUGAGACAAUCAUUGUCAACAUCUUCAUGCAUGUUAUCCCUUAUGCCCUCCUCCAAAAAACCUCCUUUGGAGACCCUUGUGGCAUUUGGCCAUGCUUGUGAAAAAUGCUAUAAAAUCAUCAUAUAUUAAUAUUUUUUUAACUUUUUUUUGUAAAUCACUUAGACAACUUCACACCUGCCCUGAAGUACCAAUCAUGCAAUUACUUUCAGGGUUUAAAUGCCAGUUACUAUUAGAAGUACUGCUUAUUUUUUUUAUCACACAACUUUUUUUUCUAUACAAUAAGUAGUAGGAGGAUGGGGUUAUGAUAUUGCCCUAUCAUAUUUAGGAUUUCUGCAUAGAAAUUGUUACGUAGCUCCAAGUAAAUUUCACGUGGUACAAAAGUUGAAGCUGUGGUUUAACAGAACAGGGGGUGUUCCAGAAAGCAGGGUUAAGUAACCAUCUGCUAAACCCUUAACUCUCAGUUCAUUAACCCCAAACCUGUUCACCCUAUGUAGGUUACCCUAGUAUGUAGGUUCCAAAACAUCUGAGAAGAGUUUAGAUGAGGUUAAAGGUGCACAUGCAAAAUUACUACAUUUAUAUGACUCCCAAAACAAAAGCCACCCCCCCAGACACUUCAGGGGCCCGUUUCAAGAAGGAGGUUUAACAAAGUCUGAGUUUAAACUAAACUCUGAGUUGAUUUACUUUGAGUUUGCAAAACUGGAGUUUUCAGUUUCAGAACAGGUGAUAAGAGUUGGUUUAAGCAACUCUGAGUUGUCUGACUCAGAGUUAAGCGCAUGCACCGCGACGAUACAAAGCCCUGAUCAAUGGAGUGAAGAUAUUACGAGUCACCAUGGCAACAGGACAACAAAAGACGUCCGGAAAUGGAUAUGAUACCUCAAGCAAAUAGCUACUACGAGUCUUUAUUCCGUAGAAAAAGCAACACGCUGCAGCGGCGAAAGAGAAAGAAUUAGCUUGGAAGAAAAUAGCUCCUCGAGUCAAUGCUUACAUUUCAAAGUUUACAUUUUAAUCAUAAAGUGUUCAGCGUAACUAAUUACUAAAUAAAUUUAGUAUUGUUGUUAUAUUUCACUCGUAAAGUAAGGACUUUUAAAGCAAUUGUUCACUCAUCUAAGAAGUUUCUUCAGUAAUUGCAUAAAUACCGAUGAUUGUAUGAAUUAAAAGUGCAGUGUUAUGUCUAUGCAUUUUUAAAAUUCCUGUUGUGGUUGAUGUGAGAUUUGUAAAGUAAUGAUAAUUCAAUAAUCCAAUACAUUUUAUGGAGAGCAAUUAUUACAUUAAUCUAAUUAGGUUUUUAAAAGUUACCCAAAACACGUAAUAAUAUAAUAAAUUAAUUUCAGUUUUUAUGUAGACGCAAUCCUGCAGUCAUAAAAGAACAUGGCUAAAAAUGAAAUGUAAUAACAUAAUUCAAACAGGUAUAAGGCACCAUCAUGUCAUGGGUGUAGACUACCUGACUUUACAAUAUUUGACAUAUUAAAUAACUAAAUAGCAUGCAGAGUAUAGCAGUGCAGCAGCAUUUUCAACAUGGCUGUAAUGUUUUCACACAGUUUAUAUCAUUUGACUUCUACUCUGCCAACAGAAGGCAGAGGCUAGAACAACUGGUGGAGGACCUGCACCACCACCACUGACGCAUGCAGAGGAGAAGGCCCUCAGCAUGAACACUGGAAAGCAGAGGCUGAAGGAAUUCCUGGAGGGAGUUCAUCAGAACCAGUCGCUCCCAGGAUACAAGUGCAUGUGUAAAAUAUUCUGAUGGUAAUAUGUGAAUCCCUCUGUCAUAACUGAAACCCAGGAUGUUGCUAAGGAUGUAACUUGAUCUCCAAGUAUAGUGACAUUAUUAUCUCCCCUCUGCCCCAGAGUGUGGAAGAACAGCAGGAGGAGGUCAGUCACAUUCUGCUGCACAGAUGCACACAGUUCAGUGAUGUUCAGUAAAUGCCAGAGUUCAAUUCUGUAAGACUAAUGAGGAACUAUGUCAUGUAACUCUAAAUCGUCUGUAUUUUAAGUUACUGGUUAUUGAGUUGUAUAAACUAAAUUUCAAGGAAAUGGUUUACUUGUACCACAAGAUUGAAAAGACAGAUCUACAAAUUGAAAUUCCCAAACACAAGCUGGAGGUGAGUGUAUAGUUAAAGGUGAAUUGUAUGAAUUAUUGGAAGAAUCGUAAAAUCUAACAAUUGCCUUUGUACUGUAUUUGUAGGAAAUGAA
Molecule: long non-coding RNA, 3672 nt
Organism: Betta splendens (Siamese fighting fish)
Lineage: Eukaryota; Metazoa; Chordata; Actinopteri; Anabantiformes; Osphronemidae
Exons: 3
Source: RefSeq, a predicted model, not a curated record